Molecule: ribosomal RNA, 253 nt
Filed under: Paraburkholderia susongensis
Lineage: Bacteria; Pseudomonadati; Pseudomonadota; Betaproteobacteria; Burkholderiales; Burkholderiaceae
Also listed under: 2 other names
Description: partial 16S ribosomal RNA
Rfam family: Bacterial small subunit ribosomal RNA
Source: RNAcentral
UACGUAGGGUGCGAGCGUUAAUCGGAAUUACUGGGCGUAAAGCGUGCGCAGGCGGUGAUGUAAGACCGAUGUGAAAUCCCCGGGCUUAACCUGGGAACUGCAUUGGUGACUGCAUCGCUCGAGUAUGGCAGAGGGGGGUAGAAUUCCACGUGUAGCAGUGAAAUGCGUAGAGAUGUGGAGGAAUACCGAUGGCGAAGGCAGCCCCCUGGGUCAAUACUGACGCUCAUGCACGAAAGCGUGGGGAGCAAACAGG